This 253-nucleotide ribosomal RNA is filed under the name uncultured bacterium. RNAcentral's name for it is "partial 16S ribosomal RNA". It matches the Rfam family "Bacterial small subunit ribosomal RNA", at positions 524 to 776 of the family's 1533-position model. The record is from RNAcentral.
UACGUAGGUGGCAAGCGUUGUCCGGAUUUACUGGGCGUAAAGAGCGCGCAGGCGGUCGUUCAAGUCGCGUGUGAAAGCCCCCGGCUCAACUGGGGAGGGUCACGCGAUACUGAUCGACUCGAAGGCAGGAGAGGGUAGUGGAAUUCCCGGUGUAGUGGUGAAAUGCGUAGAUAUCGGGAGGAACACCAGUUGCGAAGGCGACUACCUGGCCUGUUCUUGACGCUGAGGCGCGAAAGCUAGGGGAGCAAACGGG